UAGAUAAAGGAGUUUAGCUACUGAAACUCAUGUUUUAACUCCAAAAUUCUCAAUAAAAAAUUCUCUGAAAAAAAACUCUCUCCCUUCUCAAUUCAAAGAACCUUCCCUUUUUUAAAGGGAUGAUCCUAAAUUAAAGAGAAAUAAAAGAAAAAUCCCUUUAUAAGGGAGAAAUAACAAUCCCUAAUUUAUUGAUCUCUUUAAAAUCAUUUCUUUCCAAAAUGGUUUUUGCAAUUAAUUGAGAAUCUGAUAUGGAUAUCCUAUUGAUAUUGAACGAGCUGUGCCCAAAUUCUGUCAUGCCCAAGGUUUGUUUCGCGAGGUUUGCCCUGUCCAAGGUUGGCAUUGCCCGAGGUUGGCCUUGCAACUCCACCUUUGAUUUCUACCUAAAUCUUCUAAUUACGUGCUUUUCUUUCCAAAGAGUACAAAAUUUAUCAAUAUCGCAAAAAUGGAAGAAAUAUUAAUAAUUCAGCAUAAUCAACUCCAAUUUCAUAAGAAAGAAUAUGCAUUAAAUAGGCCAAAUAUACACCCUAUCAAAUUCCCCCACACUUAGUUUAUGCUUUUCUUCAAGUAUGAGAUAUAUAUAAAAAUUCAUGUCCCACAUGUAACUCCCUAACUCGGCCUUCCCUGUUUGAAUAAAGUUUAAACCAAUAAGUUUCAAGAGAUUAACUCAAAGAGCAAUAUAAAGGUAGACAACAGUAGUAUACCCCCCUAUAAAGCCCAAAACACAAGCAUUAAAAAUACACAAAGUAGAGCCUCCAUAUUUAAGCACACAAUAGAGAUUUUUAAGUGACUAAGUCAACUCAAAUCAAGUUAAAUGCUAAAACUAGCUAGGCUAUAAAGCACACAACACUUCAUAUUUUUAUAUUCUUUUAAUGCUAAGUGCCAGUGGACCAUUCUACUUUAAAAAUCUUCUUCAUAUUGUACAUAGUUGAGCACUUUUUCUUGCUUGAGGUGUUAAUUUUUUUCAUGCAAGAGCGCAUAUUGGUGAUACCCAUCUCUGGAUACUUGUGUCACAAUCCUCAAGUGGCUACUAGCUUUACUCUUUAUCCAUUACGAGACAGAGGAGUAGGUUUUGUGCUUUUAGGGUUUAUUUUACUUCCUUGAAGAUGAAAUUGCUCAUCCAUCACUUAGCACUUUUAUUUUGAACACAAUGUUAUCACAAAAUUACCAUGGCAUUGUUUCAGCACAUAUUUUAACUAAGUUGACAAUCAAAUUGAGAGCAAGUAAUUUUUUCAGUCAAGUAUUCAUUAUAAGGCUCUCUUAAUGUGUAUUUAAGAGUCUAGCAGUGUGAGCAAAGGAGAGACUCUAUUAAGACUACCUAGACAUUGCAAACUGACUUAACCUCCCAAAGCUAAAAUGGCUAGCUUUUCAUGUAAGCAGGGGUCUAAAGACAUUGAAAAUGGCUUAACAAGAGGGAAGAAACUGUGGAAUUAUCUCGAUGUAACCAUUGUGGAAUUAUGCUCGAUGUAACCCCCCCACACUCAGCUCACUUGGUCCCCAAAGUGAAAAAUGCAUAAACAACAAAUUGAAAACAAGAAAGAAAAAAAAUAAAAAGACAAAGAAAGGAAGGGGACUUCCCUGGAUUCAUAGGGGUAGCGGGCGCUUCACGCCAAGUGUGUGGUAGAGGGCAAUGAUGGUCAGAUCCAUUUAGGAAGGAUGGGAGACAACAGUAUCCAGGCCAGAUUCAGGGUGCUUUAGUCGCUAGUCCAAUUCAAUCGCUCAGCAAGUUUAGUGUCAUCGGGUGGAGGCCCAGAUGGUUAGCAUGUACAGACCUGGCAAUUAGGGGCAGACCCGAAGGUGGCAUGGGAAAAUAGGUCAAGGGACAAUUGGGAGCAAACUGAUGUUCCUGUAGCAUUUCGGGGCACUGGGCUCUAUAAAUGUGAGAUAGCCAUUAAGGUCGGAAUCUCUAGGAGUGAGAAUGGACUUGCCCUGUAUUGAGGUCAAAAUUGUUGUCACCCAAUCAUUAGCACUUUAAUUGGUGGUGGUCCCCACUCCUCUUUUUUUUCGCAACCUAUAUAUCUGAAAUAGAAAGAAACAGACUCUAGAC
This 2044-nucleotide long non-coding RNA is filed under the name Manihot esculenta (cassava). RNAcentral describes it as "long non-coding RNA (MESC_LNC008757)". The record is from RNAcentral. Lineage: Eukaryota; Viridiplantae; Streptophyta; Magnoliopsida; Malpighiales; Euphorbiaceae.